RNAcentral lists this transfer RNA (72 nucleotides) under Ascodesmis nigricans. It matches the Rfam family "tRNA". Rfam says of the family: Transfer RNA (tRNA) molecules are approximately 80 nucleotides in length. Their secondary structure includes four short double-helical elements and three loops (D, anti-codon, and T loops). Further hydrogen bonds mediate the characteristic L-shaped molecular structure. tRNAs have two regions of fundamental functional importance: the anti-codon, which is responsible for specific mRNA codon recognition, and the 3' end, to which the tRNAs corresponding amino acid is attached (by aminoacyl-tRNA synthetases). tRNAs cope with the degeneracy of the genetic code in two manners: having more than one tRNA (with a specific anti-codon) for a particular amino acid; and 'wobble' base-pairing, i.e. permitting non-standard base-pairing at the 3rd anti-codon position. Lineage: Eukaryota; Fungi; Ascomycota; Pezizomycetes; Pezizales; Ascodesmidaceae. The record is from Rfam by way of RNAcentral.
GGUUCCGUGGCCCAAUGGCAAGGCGCUUGACUACGAAUCAAGAGAUUGUGGGUUCGAUCCCCACCGGAACCU